Molecule: long non-coding RNA, 1826 nt
Organism: Lagenorhynchus albirostris (white-beaked dolphin)
Lineage: Eukaryota; Metazoa; Chordata; Mammalia; Artiodactyla; Delphinidae
Exons: 6
Source: RefSeq, a predicted model, not a curated record
GCCACGUCUCCAGAGUGACUCUCCUGGUGGGAACAGCACACCCUGCAUCAGUAGCUGCUGGUGACCCUCCCUUCCUGAACUGAUUCCUGCCCAGUGUCCUCAGAGAGCCCUGCUCAGGAUCCCAGCAAGCAGUGAAGAGCAAAGCCACACCGUGGACAAGCCCCCUGAGUGCUCUGGACUUGUUUUUCUCAUCGGCAACAAGAGAACCUUGCCAGCUCCACCAUUCAGGUAGCCUCAGAACUGCUAAGCUGAGGUCCAGAGUAUAAAACAUCAGGUGAGGGAGACGUCACUCUGAUGUAGUUCUAACAGCAACCAUUUAUGGAGCUCUUAUUACACACCGGGCACUCUGCCUUAUGAAGCUUCUUUUGCUUAAUCCUUACGAGUGUCUUGCAAAGAAGAUUUGUGCAACCCCAUGUUACAGAAGAGAAAAAUGAGGGUCAGACUUGUCAAAACUUGUACAAAGAGAUCAUAGAGCUGACAUCCAUUUAUUAUUUAUUGUGACAAGCCCCAACCUACGUGCUUGGGAUGCAGUAGUGAACACGAUCAGUAUGGUACCUGCCCUGACGGAAAUGAUCAUUUGGCAGGAGAGAUGAACAUUAAGCAAGGAGACAAACAGGUUGGCUUUUUGAAGAUAAGACAAAGGAGAAUAUGCCUUCCUUCAAGACUGACUUCAGGUCAACCCAAGGCUGUUCACAGGAGACCAGCCACUUACAGGUUAAACAAACACAUAAACACAGUGGUGUUAAUCAUAAAAAGAAAAAAUGCUUCUGAUCAUCACUGCAGUUCCGAAAUGGACAGCUGUGCCCCUGACGCUCGUCAGUGGCAUCAGUGUCACUGCUGACAACUGUACAGAGGUUGCUGAAGGCUGAGGCCCAGGCAGGUGCUGCAGCAGCUGUCAACGCUGCUGGCAUCUGGCACCAUGCCUGGCACUUAGGAGAAGCUCAGGAAAUGUUGGCUGAAUGGGUGACUGAAUGCUGCCUGCGCUGCCGCUGCCUUGUCCUUCAAUGCUCCAGGGAGUGGGGUUCACGGGGUGCAGGGUGUGUAUUGUAGCCCCUUGUUCUGAGAUUCAGGAAUGCCUCCAUUGAGCUGGGCCUGGGACAAUGUCAGUGACAACACAGAAAUGACCACAGAGCUGCCACUUUCUUCUGAAGCUUGCCUGUCUUCUUGAAACAAACCACCUUGUGGACAUUUUUUUCCCCUGGGGAGGCAAAUUAAGACUGGAGAUUUAAAGUGUGCACCUGGGACUUCCCUGGUGGCGCAGUGGUUAAGAAUCCGCCUGCCAAUGCAGGGGACACGGGUUUGAGCCCUGGUCCGGAAGGUCUCACAUGCCGCGGAGCAACUAAGCCCGUGCGCCACAACUCCUGAGUCUGCACACCACAACUAUUGAGCCCGCACACCUAGAGCCCGUGCUCUGCAACAAGAGAAGCCACCGCAAUGAGAAGCCUAUGCACCGAAACCAAGAGUAGCCUCUGCUCACCACAACUAGAGAGAGCCCGUGCGCAGCAACGACGACCCGACGCAGCCAAAAAUAAAUAAAAUUUAUAAACAAAAAAAAAUAAAGUGCCUGCCUGAACACACACAACAAAUCCCUGAGGCCCAGGUGCCUCUUCCUUCUCACCUUAUCACAGCCUCACUGCUUCUCUUCUUCCCCUUUCAAGACCAACUGUUCAGGUGAAUGAAUAAAGAAACUGGUACAUCCACACAAUGGAAUACUACUCAGCAAUAAAAAGGAAAAACUUGAUACACACAACGUGAAUCUCAAAUGUAUUACGCAAGAAGCCAAUCUCCAAGGAUUAUAUAUGGUAUAAUUCUCUUCAAAUGUCAUU